RNAcentral lists this small RNA (101 nucleotides) under Kaistella jeonii. RNAcentral's name for it is "Chryseobacterium jeonii Flavo-1 RNA". The record is from RNAcentral. Lineage: Bacteria; Pseudomonadati; Bacteroidota; Flavobacteriia; Flavobacteriales; Weeksellaceae.
CUUACGGCCCGACCUGAGUGGAAAUCCUUUUUAUCGCUUUGCCUCCCAAUCGUUGGGAAGAGGGAGGAAAAAAAGAUUGGGAACGGAGGGCGGAAAAAGGC